UUGAAAGGGAAACGAUUGAAGUCAGUCGUACCUAUGGGUAAUCAGCCUUUUGGGUGUGGUUUUGUGGAGCGUGAGGAGUUAAACGCCUUCAUGCCUGCAUAUUCGUGCACUUUGGGUGUACUUGCCCGUGUGUAAGUUAACAUCAAUUUUGGUGGUCAUAAAAUGACUGGAGGAAUGUAGCUUCGAUCUUGUAUUGAAGUGUUAUAGCCUUUGGUAGAUGUGACGAUCGGGAUUGAGGAUUGCAACGGAUACCCUUCGGGGCUACCUGUCUGAUCUCUGAUUGUUGCUCUGGUAUCGAAAGCUUGCUUACGGUUAUCAAAGUCGAUGGUCAAUAGGUUAGAACGGGUUAAAUUCGUUAAGGAUGUUGACGUA
RNAcentral lists this ribosomal RNA (372 nucleotides) under uncultured Glomus. RNAcentral's name for it is "eukaryotic LSU rRNA". The record is from RNAcentral. Lineage: Eukaryota; Fungi; Glomeromycota; Glomeromycetes; Glomerales; Glomeraceae.